Cryptotermes secundus is the source of this 890-nucleotide long non-coding RNA. RefSeq lists it as uncharacterized. The record is from RefSeq and is a predicted model, not a curated record. NCBI's taxonomy places the organism in Eukaryota, Metazoa, Arthropoda, Insecta, Blattodea, Kalotermitidae. The transcript has 3 exons.
CAGAAAUAAAGUGGAGAAACGAAUGAAGGAAACUGAACAGGAGGGAUUGAUGAAACAGAUGAACUCAACAGACACCCACUCAGAACACUUAGCCUCUUGCAUCAGAAGCAGAAAGAAAUGCAGUCUCCAUUCGUGGUCCUUAGUGGCGGUAAACAACCAUGAGGCAACCAUCUCAGAAACAAGACUGCAAAUUCUUCAUGAAAUAUGCUGGCACCAACUCUGAACUUUGGCGUGGACUUAUGUUUUUAUUGUUCCUUACUGUCUUUAUUGUUCCUUACUGUCUGGAAUAUCAUCUCUAUUUUUAAAUAAGACACAGCUUGCAGCUGCCGACAGUGCAUAAGUGUACUGGAAGGAAGGCCACAGAGUUUAUGUCACAUUAAAAUGAGUACAGUGGUUCUCCUGCUGGUACCUGGAAGCUGAAAAGUACAAUUUCUAGUGAUUAGUUGCUUGCUUAUAGGACUUGAGCCAGAUGAACAGCCUCUAAGCUAAAUCAGACAUUAAUCAGUAAUUACAUUUGGCCAUUCUUGAUUGCAAUAGCAAUAUUGUAUCCUUCCAAGGGAAGAAAGAAACCCUUGUUCAGUUGUAGGCCAGUAUGAAAAGCUGUAAAAUUAUACAAGCAACAGAAUCAGAAGAUGUACAGUCUACUGCAAAUCAUUGUAAAGCACCACUGAUAUAUCACAGAAACAUUUGUAAUGGGUUAUAAAAGUAACUUGGUUCAUCCUGGUCUGUCACACUAGUAAUGUAUAUAAGGUUUUUAACCACUGUCCAGUGUGAUUGAUAAAAAUUGUGUUUAAUUUUGCAUCCUUUAUAUGUUUCAGUCAAAACGACCAUCUUCAGAAGGAUAUUAUUAGCACGUAUGGAAACUACUGUUACGUGUCAUACAUAUACAU